CAAGAAUCAUCCGAAUCGAUCGUAUAUCACUCGAUUAAACGGUUGUAUAUAAAGGAGAGAAGAAGAGAAUCGCGGCAAUCCCCGGAGGCUUUGGAUCUUUACAGCACUCUUCGGCAUUGCAUCUGAGACACUUCGAGCAGUCUCCUGCGCUUUUUUUGGACGCCCUCGAUCAGCUCUUCCUUUUUUCCUCUCUGCAACUCUUUCUUGUUGCUCUCUUCUUUUUCUUGGUGCGUCUUUUGGUGUCCAUUCGGCUUCUAGUUCAGUUUACAGGAUCUGCACGCUUCCUGUUUGACGUAAUGCUUGAGACAAGGGAUAACUCCUUAUUGACCUCUUGAUUCCCUUCUACUUCAUAUCUCGAUCCAAACAAGGGUAAAGGUCCACAAGACCUAUAGAUGUUGAAGAUAGAAGAGGUGACACAAUUAGUAUAUAUGGUAUGAGUAGAGGUAGAGGAAGACCUAAAGAGAACUAAAUGCUUUUAAAUUAAUUAAGGAUAUUACAUUUUAUUCAGCUCAAUGAUAAUAAAAUAAAAAAUCUAUGAUAUAUUUAUGACAUUUCAGCUUGUUAUUGUUGUUGUAAAGGUCCAGACAACCGCUGAUAAUUCUGAGCUGGAUUUUGCUGCAGUUACUGUUGGUUAUUUGAUUUUAUUUGACUGUUGGUCAGAAUAUAUCACUACUCACUUUCUUGCAUCUUACCUUCUUCAUUUGUGUAACUUGUGGAAUUAUUGUAGUUGCUGGCAAAGGAGGAACAUGUACUAGUCAGGCAAGCAUGGAUGGUUGGCGCAAGGAAAUUAUAUUGUGAAGGAACUUCAGUAACUUAAACCUUGUGCUGGACUGCAUUGUUGAUGCAAUGAUUGUGCUGAGCAUCUAAUUUAAAGGUUCAUUAUUAAAUGUGGGUAUUAUCAGCUUAACUUUAGUAUUUACUACAUUGUGUGUGUGUUUUUUUUUUGUAGAAAACCAAUAGAGAAAGAAAUGGGCCUUAUUGGUUUCUUCCCGCUAAUUUUGGGUUUUAGUCAUUUUAUGCACAGAAGAAGUUAGGAAAUUUAUACCAGGGAAUUACAGAGAAGAAGCUUGAUGAGAUCCAAGGAGAGCCUACAAGGUAGGUAUGCCUCUAAGUGCAUCUAUACAUGUUAGGAAAAUAAUGCUCUGCCUUUUCUUAUUAACUGAAAAUACUUUUUGAUUUUUACACCUCUUUCUUUCUUCCUUCAGACCUAGUUUUGAUAGUGUUCCUUUUCUCUUUUUAAUCUGGGAAAUAAAAUCAGUGUCAAGAGUUGACAAAGUUAAUCUAAAGAAUCAACCUUGCAAUGUUUCCAAUUAAGUAAUCUAUUCAAGAUACCAUAAAAGUAACUAAGAGCUGUUGGUUCUACUUGUUGCCUACAAGAAGAUAAUUAUGCUUAAAUUGGUGUAAGUAAAUUAAAACGUUGUUGGUACAUAGUGACUUCUAUGUUGGUUACUAACCAUUUGAUUUGGCAAAUAAAUAAAAUACAAAUGAUAUGCCUUUUCACUCAUGAAGAAAACAAAUAGAAUCAGACAAGUGCCACAUAAGAUAAUCAAAAUAUAUGUAGCAAAACAAUAAAACUGAAAAUGUUCAUAGCUCCUUUUAUUAUUUAUCAUUGGUGAUUGUGAUGCCAGGAUAGACAUUGACAGAGAGCGUUAAUCAGACAAAUAUAAGAAUAUAGUUAAAGACUCAAAGUACUAAUGGAAUGCUGAAAGCAAUUAACUGACUGAAACCAUGCAACACUGAUGUUGACCAUUAGACAGGCUUAAAUAAACUAAAGAACCAUAGUUACAUGGAAGUGCAUGUGAUGCAAUCGAACAAAUGUAUAUGUGAAGAAUAAAAGCAAAAGGCAAGAAUAUUGAAAACCAAUUGCUACUUGUCAUUUCUCAUUUCCAAACUUAUGUGUUUUCAGUACAAGAAAUCCAACUAUCUUGGUUAGUUUAGAACUGCAUUUUCCAGAUUGACAAGAAAGUCUAAAGCAAUUUCAUCUUUCAAUAAUUAAAAUUACUUGUGAACUUUUUUUCCCAAAGUAUUAUAUUAUCAUUGGCAAAGUUGGACUUAUCGGUCUGAGCCAGAGUGCUGGCUGGCAGCAUGGCAUGUGCCGCUCAGUACCAAUAAACCGACACACGGUAUGCCGGUGUGUACCGGUGUUUCGACGAGGAAGAGAAAGAGGUUGAAGAGGAAGGUCUGGUAGAGGAAUAGUGGAGGAAGAAGGAGAAAGGAAGAAGGAAGAAGAAGAAGAAGAAAGAAAAGGAGGAGGAGAAGAAGUGCAGUGAUGCCCGGGAAGCAGCGGCAGUGUCAAAGGGAAGCAACAGCAUCGCAGUGGCGACAAGGCAGCGCCGCUGCAGCAUCACAGCGAUGAAGCAGCAAAGAGGUAGCGCCGCUGCAAUGGCGAAGCAGCGGAGAGGUAGUGCCGCUGCAACAACGGCAACGGUGAGGCGGCAAAGCGGUAGAAGAGGCAGCAGCAAAACGGCGAAGAGGCAGCGCUGCAGCUUCGUAUGCGAGAAGAGCCCUAACUUGCUUUUUCUUUCUUUUUUUUAUUCUGAAAUGGAUUGGGACUCACCACUUUUUGAUUUUUUAUUAUUUUAAUUCGAACCAUCCGAAACGGAGUGGUGUGCAUAUCGGUCUAUGCUCGGACCGGUACAUACCGCCCAAAUCGUAUCAUUUUAGGCGGUACAGAAAUCCUUGAUUAUUCGUAUCUUGAACAUUCUUUGAUGAAGAUAUCAAAUUGUCAUGUGCAUAAUUCUAAAUGUUAUUUGGUAACC
This is a non-coding RNA of Musa acuminata subsp. malaccensis (wild Malaysian banana), 2759 nucleotides long. The record is from RefSeq and is a predicted model, not a curated record. Lineage: Eukaryota; Viridiplantae; Streptophyta; Magnoliopsida; Zingiberales; Musaceae.